GUUAUAAGAAGUCGUUGGUGUGAAUAGCCUGUUAGCUAUUCGCACCGUCGGUGCGAUUAGCCACUGCGUACCUUUCCUUCGCACCUAUGUUUGAUUUUUCGCCUAUCAGUGCAGAAAGACUUAGCGGUGGCAAAACAAGAAGUCUAUGUAUAUAUCUAUGUACAAUACAUAUUCUAUGGUCUUGCGCCUGCAUUUCACUCUCGACUUUGGUUGACAUAAUAGACCGUCGUGGACAUAAUAGACUUCACAGCAACGCUACUGUGUAAAAUGUUGGCUAACUUUAUAGGCGAAAAGCUCGGUCUUGAAAUUCGCCUGCCAUGCGCGCCAGCUAAGGGACAUAUUCUUUGCUAAUGCCAGAAAAAUUGUCACCGACUUCAAGCACUAGAAUUUCGGCAACUUUUGAACAUUUUGGAAUGGAAAAAAAUAAUGAACUAUGCUCUAGUGAUCCUGAGCGUGAAAGGUUUGUUUCCCCGGAUUUUACUUACGAAUGUAUGCUGGACAUUGUAUGGUCUGUGUCUUAGAAGAUAGGGUGGAAGGAUAAAGAGGUGGAAAUUGAUGAGUUUUGCUGAUGUUUGAAAUUGAUAUUUCUGCUGUUUGAAGAACCAUUCACAAUGAUUGGCUCAAUGGCUUGAAGCAUGCAGGAAGUACUUGAUUGAGCAUUAUAAGGAGAUAUUAAAGGAACCACCUUCUACCUUAUACUGAACUCGUCUUUGUUCUGCCCAUUUUGAAGAUUUUGCAUACUCAACGACCAAGAACUCUUGCAUUUAAUGCUUAAUCAGCAAAAUUUGGUGAAACAGAGCAAAACACCUUAAUCAAAUGGCAAAAUAAAAAAAAAUCAUCAAAAGCAUACAAAAUUAACCACAAAACAGAGCCCAGCAGGAAAAAGGGGUGAACAAUGUUGCAUUACAAGAGAUACUUUAGUGAAAUAGCUGCAGAUCUGAAGUACAAUAAAAUACUAGGAUGAGAUUCGAUAAAAUAACAAAUAAAGAAAGAAGUAAACCAUUUUGGAAAGAUUUACAUAGAGAUUCAAGAGUAAUUAUUGCAGAUAUUAAGCCCAGCCCAGAAAAGAAUUCAUCAAGAAUUGACAAAUAUACAGAUUCGAUAAAAUAGCAAAUGAAGAAAGAAGUAAACCAUUUUGGAAAGAUUUACAUAGAGAGUUAAGAGUACUUAUUGCAGAUAUUAAGCCCACUGCAGAAAAGAAUUCAUCAAGAAUCGACAAAUAUACAGUUAUUGAAUUAAUAUGGAAUGGUGAAGACAAGAUUAAAGUCUAACAGCAGAAAAAGUGCUUUAAGGCAAAUCCCAGGAAGCUGCAGAACAGAAUUUGCUGUGACAUUUUAGCAAGCACUGAAUAUGGGCACUGAAAAUGUGAGAAUUAAAUUGACUAAGCAUGUGGAUAAUUCAAGUAACUCGGAUGAAAAACCCAGCGCCUGGGGGUAGCCAGGCAUUUCUUUCGAGAGACUGAAAUGGAAGACACAAAAGCAGAUUUAAUUAAAAAAUGUUAAAUAUAAGACUACAGAGGAUUGUUUCUUUGUACAAGAGAAAUGGUACAGAAACAGCAAAUAAUGAAUUGCCAAGUAAUGCUGCUUUAGAAUGUGAAAUAUGGUGCUUGAAGAUAGUAAUGAUACAUAUGCAUUAUAAUUAGAGGAUUAUGGCUCAUGGCAACACCUCUGAAAAAAAAAAAAAAAAACCCAUCAAGAUUCCUACCUUCGGAGUCUUGCACAUACCAGCAUAAAAAUUUGCUACGGUUAUUUUUACUUACUUUACUUAAUUCAUGUCAUUAAUCAAGUUACUUCUUAAUUCUAUUUCUUAAUCAGAUUAAAUUAAAAUUGACUUUAAUAUGCACAUUAUUUCUUAAUUCUGUUUCUUACUCAGAUUUAAUUAAAAUUGACCUUAACAUGCAAUCAAAUUUAGAUAAUUUGAAAAGUCAUGGCUAGUUCUAAUUUUUUCAAUGGAACUAUGUUAUCAGAUUCGGAUAAAAAAUGUCUUAAAAAAUUAAUCUCUAAAUCUUAAAUAUAAGAGAAUUUGGCAAUGCUCUUACAAACAGCAAAAUAUAAUAAGCUUUCGGUUUUUAUUUAAGAUUAAAUGUGCAAGACUCUAUGGUGAUGUGGAAAUGGAAUCAUUUUUAAUUUCAGAAUCCUUGUACAUUACUUUAUUCUUAUGAAACUUAUUCAGAUCUUAUGAAAAUGCAUCCACAAAGUGCAAAGAAAAUGGAUUACUCUCAUAAUGGAUUAAAAGAAAAAAUAAGGAUUAUCUGAGAAAUGUCAUCUGGGCUGGUGAAUAUAGCUGGUGGUCCUAGAAUUAUAGCUCCUAACUAGUAGUCCUAGAAACAAUAGGGUUGUGAAUGUGCAUCAGCUUUCCAUGAAGUUAUGUGCUGGAGCAGCAUGCAGUCAGUAUGAAUCAUAUUCAACAUUCAUAUUCUUUGAAAGGUAGCUCAAAAUCAAAUCCUGGCUGUUUGCAACUUACCUGAGGUACACAGCUAGCCUCUAAACCAAGCCAAGGUUCAACAGUACUAAAUCAUAUAGGUGAAGUGUUUGUGACACUAGAAAGAAGUUCAAAAUGCAAUAAAAAUUUAACUCCCAGAUCUUUGAAAUUUAGGCAGUUAAGCCAUAAACUGGUAUAUUUGAAAAUAUUCGUUAAAAAGUAAAGCUAACAAAGCUGGAAGGGAAAAGGUACUCUUGCUGAUUAGAUCACUGGUUAGGUCUGUGGUUUUUCACUUUUAUGCAGUCACAAAUAAAUGCAUCAAAUGUGUCAAAAUAUGGAUGAAGUUGGUCACUGAUUGAUAAAAAUUUGUCUUCAGAUCUAUCUUAGUAGUCCAAAUCUUAUACUGAACAUGCAGUAUAGGAACUGUAGUUUCCUUCCCGGAUAUGCAGCUCAUGGUCUUGUUUUUAUGGUCCACGGGCUUUGGAAAAAAUGGAAAUAGGCCAUUGGCUACUUUUUUCCCUUCUUGCACUACUCCAAGUUUCAUGUUGUGUACUUUGGUCAUGGAAGCCCUAUCAAAAUUAUAUGAUUGUGGUUUGAUGCCUGUGGCUGUUUGUGAUGAUGGUGCAAAUGAUGUAUUUUCUUAUAAAAAAUAUGAAAGUUACAGAAGAGAGAAUUAUAUGUCAAGACAAAAAAGGUAUUCACACUUUUUUUGUACCUCGUCUUUUGAAGUGCUUGUGAAAUAAUUUUAAAAAAUAUGAUGUUAAAUUUCAGAGUAGCAAAAUUACUAAUUAAAAACACAUCAUAUCCUUGUGGGAAUUUGAUCGUAAAAUGCCUCACAGAUGUGUUCCAAAAUUAACAGGCCACCAUGUAAAUGGGGAUUCCCUAGGUGCUAUAAGGAUAAAAUUAGCAGCUUCAGGCUUUAGUCAUUCUGUGGCUUCUGGCCUGUGUUACCUCAAUGCACUAAAUUGCUUACUUGCAUUGUCUAGUUUUACAGCUGACUUCUGUUCAAACAAAAAUACUUUAUUUGAUGGUUUGAAUAGUCAAACAUUUAAGCACCCUAAAUCUUUUCUUGUAGGAGUUACAAAAUCAUCAACUCACUUAACAUGGAAGGAAAAGAUGAAGUUCAUCAAAUCUAUUGAACUUCAAAUGGAAAAAACAAAUCUUUUCAAAGUAUAUUUGGUUGGAAAUUGAUCUAUCAGCAGUUCAUCAGUUAAUUCCAGUUCUGUUGGAAAAUGUACCGCUUGUAUUGAUGUGUUGUUUCACCCACGAUAACUUGGAUAAUUUUUUCUCUGUUUUCAAACACAGAGGUGGAAGUAAUGACUAUCCUACUGUGUACGAUUUUCAACUGAGGAUGAGAAUGCUAAUGGCACAGAAUAUUAUAAGCACAGCAAAGCUAUCAGACAGUAAAUGUGAUAAUGAUAAAGUUUUGCUACCUCCAGAGUUGCUGACAGUUAUUGAUAAUACUGCGCCUUUAAAUGGCAGUGAUGUAAAUGAUAGGGAAAUUGACUAUGAGGAUUCGUUAUGGGUAGCAAAUGAAAAUUCUGAUACUAGUACUUGUAUUGCAAAUACAUAACAUGAUGUAUUUUCACGAAAUUCAGCAGCUUAUGUUGCUGGAUAUUUUGCUAGAAGUGCAUUAAAGCAAUUUCCUUGUACUUUAUUUUAGAAUAUUCUUCUGAUUGAUAAAUCUUUGGGCAAAUAACUUACUUUUUAUAUUUCAAGGAAUUUGAUGUAGUGAAAGAUGGAUUGUGUUUCCCCUUAUAGCAGCUUAUAUUUAUUGUUUGUGAGAUGGGAUGAAAAAAUUGGAACUUUAUUUGAUGAAAUAUGCAGCCAGAAAGGUGUGAAAUACAAAAUUAUAUCCCAAAUUAAACUCGUUGAUCAUGAAUGGCUUACAUGUCAUUAUCCUGCAGUGAAAAUGUGGAAAUAUUUUGUCAGUUCAUAUGCCCAUCAUAAGCUGAAAAAUACAAAUAACUGCUCAAAAAACAAAUGUAGAGGAAAGAAAAAAAUAUAAAAUUAUAGUUAAAAAGUCUUAUUUGUAUGUACAGGUAGUCUUUAAUUUAUAAUGACUUAUCCCAUUUCAACCAUUUCUUCACAGUUUCUUCUACAGUAUCAUGCUCAUACUUUUCCAGUGUUUCCUGUUACAGCAGUAUUUUCCCAAAUUCUUCACAUGCAUUGUUCUGAGAUUCCCCCAUCCUCAAAGUUCCAAUAUUCAGAGAGGUCUAACUCUUUCCGAAGCGCUAAAAGUGUUUCAUGAAUUACCCUCGGAUUGUGAAUCAGAGCGUGAGGAUAGCAGCUAUACUAAGGUAUAUGCUCCUGAACCACUUGUGCAAUCCGAUGAUGAUAUGUCAGAUGAAACUCAUUUAUCUGAUAAGGAGGAUGAUGAUCCAUCUCAGCCAGGCUUCACUACACAGCCUUUAGUUCCUACUUGGAAUUCUAAACAGAAGUUGCAAAAGAUACUUCUGGAAUUUACAUCGAUAAGUGGGCCAAAUGCAAAGCUAUGGGAAUUAUCUGCAAAAACACUAUUAGCAGUGUUCCAAGAGAUUUCUUCACUUCAGCUGAUAGAACACGUAGUUUUCCAAACAAAUCCCUAUGCGACACAAAAAAGUAAACCUUUCUCACCACUCACUUUAGUUGAAUUAUACAUAUUUCUGGGAAUCAAUCUGCUGAUGGGCAUAAAGAGGAUGCCGAGUUAUAAGGAUUACUGGGCAAAUAAUGAAGCCCUUGGAGACAAAUUCAUUUGCCGUUAUAUGUCAUGUAGAAGGUUUUCAUGGAUUCUCGUCAAUUUGCGCCUAAAUGACAACGUGCUUGAGCUGAAAAGGAACGAUGCAAAUUUCGACCGUCUGUAUAAAGUGCGGCCAUUAUUAGAUUAUCUGUCUAAGAGAUUUUUAGAUGCUCUGCACCCCAGUGAAAAUUGUUGAUAGAUGAGUCGAUGAUCAAAUUCAAGGGGCGCAGCACAAUCAAACAAUGCAUGUCCAAGAAACCAAUAAAAUGUGGUUUCAAAGUAUGGAUGAGGUAUGAUGAGAGUGCUUUUGCAUCCCAGUUCAAGAUUUAUUCAGGCAAAAAAGAAGUUGUAGAGAAAAACCUGGGUGAGAAAGUGGUGAAAAGAUUGACAGAAUGCCUGCAUGGCAAAAAUCACCGGGUGUUCAUGGACAAUUUACGACAUAUGAACUUUUUCGCUACUUCGAAACCAAAAAUAUAUAUGCCUGUGGAACUGCCAUGAUAGGCAGAAAAAUUUACCCAAGUCUCUGCUUGCCCAGGACAAAGAGUUGAAAAGAGGCGAAUUUGACUGGGCUAUCAGUCAUGACAAUCUAACUUGCCUCAAAUGGAAGGAUAAGAGAUGUUUCACAAUCCUGUCUUCCCUUCCUGAUGCCGUUGAUCAAAUUCAAAUUGAACGAAAAGAAAAAGAUGGCACAAAAAUAAACAUAAAUUGCCCAAAAGCAAUUUCAACUUAUAAUAUGAAAAUGGGAUUCGUAGACAAAUUUGAUCAACUAGUAUCGCUUUACGAAAUAGAUCGUAAAAGUAAAAAGUGAUGGCAAAAAAUCUUUUUCCAUUUUGUAGAUGUAGCUGUAAUUAACAGUUACAUAUUACAUAAAAUGCUAACUGGAGCUGAAAUAAAUACAGCCAAAGAUUUCCUUUUAAAUUUGCUGUAUUCCCUCUGUGCCAUGAAAGCGUCAGAGAUAACUUUGAAGAGGCGACUUCCUUCAAGACCUGAAGAUACUCCCAGGCAUAAAGUAAAGGUUUCCGGGGGAAAAUGCUACAGUAGUGUUGAACACAUAUCGGUGAAGGGUAUGCGUAGACAAUGCACACAUUGUAGCAUGAAGCAGAAGCCGCACAAAACAAGUUUUAUGUGCAAAACCUGCAAAGUUGGUUUGUGCUUCCAUCAUAAAUGUGUGAUUUGCUUUGAACAAUUUCACAAAGCUAAGAAAUAGGAAAAUUUGUAAAUAUUUCUGUAUGUAGGACUUGUGUAUAUAGAUAUUUAUCUUAUUUAUCUGUAUAUAUUCAAGAAUAUUGUGUAUAUCCAGGAAACCAUGUAUACAGCCAUAAUACAGAGUUUUUUCAUACUUAUACAAACACUUCUACUCAUUAGUCACACUUUUAAAAGCUCUGGCGGCGCAGUAUUCCACCUCAUGGAACACCCACAGAAUUAAAACGCAAACAAUGAAUUUAAUAUGGAAGAUAAUCUGAAAAUUUUCACAUUCUCUCAAAAGUGUUUUAGAACAAAUGAAGAUUUCCAAAAUAGUAUUGACUGAAUUAAAAAUUUUUAGUCAAAUACUGAGCAUCUGGUAAAGAACUUACUGAAUGAGAGUUAAUUCUUUUUUUAACUGUUAUCUGUUAAUCUCUGUAAUUAUAUUUAUUGAUAUGGAAUCUGUAGUAUGUGCUUGUAAAAAAUUAGGAAUUAAAGAGUUUAUUAUUUUAUGAAAAUUGUUACAUUAACAGAAAUAUGACCUUUUCAUGUAUGAGAUCUAAAUGUUUCAAUUUAAGAAUAAUUUGAUUUCUAAAAUGUAUAUUAUUGUUUUGGUUUCUGCAUUAAUGCUAUGCUAAAAAUAUAUGGUAAUAUAUACUUUUCUCUUCUUUUUUGUCUUCUCUGUAUGAUAACUAACUCUAAAAUUGUAUGUAUUUCUGAAAUAAAAAUGUUUGACUAUGUUACCUAAUAUUCUGUUUAAAUAGUAGACAAAAUGAAUUUACAAUAAAUUUUUAAAUAAUACUUAGUUUAUAUAAAUAUUAUAUAGGACAGAAUACUUAUUUAAUUUCUUGAAAUGUACUGUAUCCAUAAGCUAAAAAAAUAAGAAAAUAAUUUAUCUAAUUAUUUCUAUACUGUAUUAAUUUAUAUACCUUUAAAAGUUAGGUCAGAGAAAACUGUUAUUUAAGGCAAAAGAAGAAAAACUGAUUUUGUUAGUGGUUGUAUGAAAAAUCAUAUAUUUGCUUGUUAUAUAUUGUGUUAUAGUGAUCUGAUAAUUGUGUAUCUUAAUAUGAAAUUUUGUUUAUUAUAUAUAAAUGACAUUUUUAAUGCCUUAAUUUAUAUUGGUUGUCUUUAUUUCUUUCAUUAACAUAUUUUUCAAGCUGAGUAAGUUCAGCAUAGAUCUUUAAUAAAAUUAUAUUAGAGACUGCACCAUUUAUUUAUUUUAAAAUUAUUAACUGCGGAUAUGUAAUUCAGACUAUUAGGUAUAUAGCCCUUGUGUGCUUUGCCAUAUAUAAGUAAUCCAAUCAUAUAUAAUAACAAACAUUACUUUUAUUAAAUUAUGAAUAUAUGUAAUGCAGGAUAUUUAAAAUCUCAGUUUUAGUUAAACAGUUUUAGCUUUUUUUAUUCACAGAAAAGUUUAAGAAUAGUUUUUUAAAAUUAUCAAAAAUGGCUGAUUAAUAAAACUUUUUAAAUAUAUGGUUUUCUGCUAAAUGUAAAUUGUUUUUUCUUUAAUCUAUUUUUUUUGUUUUCCAAAUCAAUUUAAAUAUUUAAUUUUAAUUAAACAAAUAUUACUUAAAUAUUUGUAUUGACAUUUUGUGUGGUGAUCAUAGCAAUAAGAAGGUUCUGGGAUAUAUUUCCAUCCUGAGCCACCAUAACUAGAUCUGCCACUGCAGAUAGGGUUUGCACGUUUGCCAUAUUUCCUUCUUUGACAAACUUUAUGAUUUAAAAAAAUUAUAUUCUUCAUUUGCACAACUUUUCCAUCCUUAGAACAAUUAAUUUCAGUAUAAAAUAUAUUAAAACAUGUUUCAAGCAUUCUGUGCCUGUGUGUUUACGUGUUAUGUAAGCUAAUGGAAAUAUAAUAAACAUGUUUCAACCAUUCUGUG
This is an unclassified non-coding RNA of Stegodyphus dumicola, 8202 nucleotides long. The record is from RefSeq and is a predicted model, not a curated record. Lineage: Eukaryota; Metazoa; Arthropoda; Arachnida; Araneae; Eresidae.